GACGAACCGUGCGAACGUUGUUCGGAAUCACUGGGCUUAAAGGGCGCGUAGGCGGGCGAUCAAGUCAGCGGUGAAAUCUUUCGGCUCAACCGGAAAAGUGCCCCUGAUACUGGCCGUCUCGAGGGAGGCAGGGGCAUGUGGAACUUCUGGUGGAGCGGUGAAAUGCGUAGACAUCAGAAGGAACGCCGGUGGCGAAAGCGACGUGCUGGACCUCUUCUGACGCUGAGGCGCGAAAGCUAGGGGAGCAAACGGGAUUAGAUACCCUUGUAGU
This 271-nucleotide ribosomal RNA is filed under the name uncultured bacterium. RNAcentral describes it as "partial 16S ribosomal RNA". It matches the Rfam family "Bacterial small subunit ribosomal RNA", at positions 524 to 794 of the family's 1533-position model. The record is from RNAcentral.